ACCCUACGGGGCGCAGCAGUGGGGAAUAUUGCACAAUGGGCGAAAGCCUGAUGCAGCAACGCCGCGUGAACGAAGAAGGCUCUUGGGUCGUAAAGUUCUGUUCUGAGGGAAGAAGAAAGUGACGGUACCUCAGGAGAAAGCCCCGGCUAACUACGUGCCAGCAGCCGCGGUAAUACGUAGGGGGCAAGCGUUGUCCGGAAUUAUUGGGCGUAAAGAGUACGUAGGCGGUCUGUUAAGUCAGCGGUAAAAGCCCGGGGCUCAACCCCGGCGAGCCGUUGAAACUGGCUGUCUUGAGAUGUCGAGAG
Molecule: ribosomal RNA, 305 nt
Filed under: uncultured bacterium
Lineage: Bacteria
Description: bacterial SSU rRNA
Rfam family: Bacterial small subunit ribosomal RNA
Source: RNAcentral